AGUGAACGCUGGCGGUAGGCCUAACACAUGCAAGUCGAACGGCAGCACAGUAAGAGCUUGCUCUUACGGGUGGCGAGUGGCGGACGGGUGAGGAAUACAUCGGAAUCUACUUUUUCGUGGGGGAUAACGUAGGGAAACUUACGCUAAUACCGCAUACGACCUACUGGUGAAAGCAGGGGAUCUUCGGACCUUGCGCGACUGAAUGAGCCGAUGUCGGAUUAGCUAGUUGGCGGGGUAAAGGCCCACCAAGGCGACGAUCCGUAGAUGGUCUGAGAGGAUGAUCAGCCACACUGGAACUGAGACGCAGUCCAGACUCCUACGGGAGGCAGCAGUGGGGAAUAUUGGACAAUGGGCGCAAGCCUGAUCCAGCCAUACCGCGUGGGUGAAGAAGGCCUUCGGGUUGUAAAGCCCUUUUGUUGGGAAAGAAAAGCAGCAGGUUAAUACCCCGCUGUUCUGACGGUACCCAAAGAAUAAGCACCGGCUAACUUCGUG
This 492-nucleotide ribosomal RNA is filed under the name uncultured bacterium. RNAcentral's name for it is "partial 16S ribosomal RNA". It matches the Rfam family "Bacterial small subunit ribosomal RNA", at positions 29 to 507 of the family's 1533-position model. The record is from RNAcentral.